This 837-nucleotide ribosomal RNA is filed under the name uncultured archaeon. Its description in RNAcentral is "bacterial SSU rRNA". It matches the Rfam family "Archaeal small subunit ribosomal RNA", at positions 85 to 922 of the family's 1478-position model. The record is from RNAcentral.
ACGGCUCAGUAACACGUGGACAACCUGCCCUUAGGUUGGGUAUAAACCCGGGAAACUGGGUAUAAUACCCGAUAGGUCUCGAUUGCUGGAAUGCAUCGAGAUUUAAAGCUCCGGCGCCUAAGGAUGGGUCUGCGGCCUAUCAGGUAGUAGUGGGUGUAGCGUACCUACUAGCCUACGACGGGUACGGGUUGUGAGAGCAAGAGCCCGGAGAUGGAUUCUGAGACACGAAUCCAGGCCCUACGGGGUGCAGCAGGCGCGAAAACUUUACAAUGCUGGCAACAGCGAUAAGGGAACCUCGAGUGCCAGGUUACAAAUCUGGCUGUCGAGAUGCCUAAAAAGCAUUUCAUAGCAAGGGCCGGGCAAGACCGGUGCCAGCCGCCGCGGUAACACCGGCGGCUCGAGUGGUAACCGUUAUUAUUGGGUCUAAAGGGUCUGUAGCCGGCCGGAUAAGUCUCUUGAGAAAUCUGGCAGCUUAACUGUCAGGCUUUCAGGAGAUACUGUCUGGCUCGAGGCCGGGAGAGGUGAGAGGUACUUCAGGGGUAGGGGUGAAAUCUUGUAAUCCUUGAAGGACCACCAGUGGCGAAGGCGUCUCACCAGAACGGACCUGACGGCAAGGGACGAAAGCUAGGGGCACGAACCGGAUUAGAUACCCGGGUAGUCCUAGCCGUAAACGAUACUCGCUAGGUGUCGGCCACGGUGCGACCGUUGUCGGUGCCGUAGGGAAGCCGUGAAGCGAGCCACCUGGGAAGUACGGCCGCAAGGCUGAAACUUAAAGGAAUUGGCGGGGGAGCACCACAACGGGUGGAGCUUGCGGGUUUAAUUGGAUUCAACGCCGGG